RNAcentral lists this ribosomal RNA (1542 nucleotides) under Salmonella enterica subsp. enterica serovar Typhimurium. RNAcentral's name for it is "bacterial SSU rRNA". It matches the Rfam family "Bacterial small subunit ribosomal RNA". Lineage: Bacteria; Pseudomonadati; Pseudomonadota; Gammaproteobacteria; Enterobacterales; Enterobacteriaceae. The record is from RNAcentral.
AAAUUGAAGAGUUUGAUCAUGGCUCAGAUUGAACGCUGGCGGCAGGCCUAACACAUGCAAGUCGAACGGUAACAGGAAGCAGCUUGCUGCUUUGCUGACGAGUGGCGGACGGGUGAGUAAUGUCUGGGAAACUGCCUGAUGGAGGGGGAUAACUACUGGAAACGGUGGCUAAUACCGCAUAACGUCGCAAGACCAAAGAGGGGGACCUUCGGGCCUCUUGCCAUCAGAUGUGCCCAGAUGGGAUUAGCUAGUUGGUGAGGUAACGGCUCACCAAGGCGACGAUCCCUAGCUGGUCUGAGAGGAUGACCAGCCACACUGGAACUGAGACACGGUCCAGACUCCUACGGGAGGCAGCAGUGGGGAAUAUUGCACAAUGGGCGCAAGCCUGAUGCAGCCAUGCCGCGUGUAUGAAGAAGGCCUUCGGGUUGUAAAGUACUUUCAGCGGGGAGGAAGGCGUUGUGGUUAAUAACCGCAGCGAUUGACGUUACCCGCAGAAGAAGCACCGGCUAACUCCGUGCCAGCAGCCGCGGUAAUACGGAGGGUGCAAGCGUUAAUCGGAAUUACUGGGCGUAAAGCGCACGCAGGCGGUCUGUCAAGUCGGAUGUGAAAUCCCCGGGCUCAACCUGGGAACUGCAUUCGAAACUGGCAGGCUUGAGUCUUGUAGAGGGGGGUAGAAUUCCAGGUGUAGCGGUGAAAUGCGUAGAGAUCUGGAGGAAUACCGGUGGCGAAGGCGGCCCCCUGGACAAAGACUGACGCUCAGGUGCGAAAGCGUGGGGAGCAAACAGGAUUAGAUACCCUGGUAGUCCACGCCGUAAACGAUGUCUACUUGGAGGUUGUGCCCUUGAGGCGUGGCUUCCGGAGCUAACGCGUUAAGUAGACCGCCUGGGGAGUACGGCCGCAAGGUUAAAACUCAAAUGAAUUGACGGGGGCCCGCACAAGCGGUGGAGCAUGUGGUUUAAUUCGAUGCAACGCGAAGAACCUUACCUGGUCUUGACAUCCACGGAAGUUUUCAGAGAUGAGAAUGUGCCUUCGGGAACCGUGAGACAGGUGCUGCAUGGCUGUCGUCAGCUCGUGUUGUGAAAUGUUGGGUUAAGUCCCGCAACGAGCGCAACCCUUAUCCUUUGUUGCCAGCGGUCCGGCCGGGAACUCAAAGGAGACUGCCAGUGAUAAACUGGAGGAAGGUGGGGAUGACGUCAAGUCAUCAUGGCCCUUACGACCAGGGCUACACACGUGCUACAAUGGCGCAUACAAAGAGAAGCGACCUCGCGAGAGCAAGCGGACCUCAUAAAGUGCGUCGUAGUCCGGAUUGGAGUCUGCAACUCGACUCCAUGAAGUCGGAAUCGCUAGUAAUCGUGGAUCAGAAUGCCACGGUGAAUACGUUCCCGGGCCUUGUACACACCGCCCGUCACACCAUGGGAGUGGGUUGCAAAAGAAGUAGGUAGCUUAACCUUCGGGAGGGCGCUUACCACUUUGUGAUUCAUGACUGGGGUGAAGUCGUAACAAGGUAACCGUAGGGGAACCUGCGGUUGGAUCACCUCCUUA